UUGGGGACGAGAUGUUUUGUUG
RNAcentral lists this microRNA (22 nucleotides) under Arabidopsis thaliana (thale cress). RNAcentral describes it as "ath-miR447a-3p". Its record names the gene ath-miR447a-3p. Lineage: Eukaryota; Viridiplantae; Streptophyta; Magnoliopsida; Brassicales; Brassicaceae. The record is from miRBase by way of RNAcentral.